RNAcentral lists this long non-coding RNA (12328 nucleotides) under Salvia miltiorrhiza (redroot sage). RNAcentral describes it as "long non-coding RNA (SMIL_LNC007480)". The record is from RNAcentral. Lineage: Eukaryota; Viridiplantae; Streptophyta; Magnoliopsida; Lamiales; Lamiaceae.
UUUGUGAGACGGUCUAACAAGAGACCUAUCUUCAAAUAUUAAUACAACCAAACACAACUAUUUCACAGCAAAAUAUUUUUUUUGACUGCAACAUGCUGCAAAAUAUAAUUGGCAAACUGGCUUAGAAAGGUAACAAAGGGAAAUUAAUAAGAUCACCAUUAAUCCUGGAGUAAGCUCAUUCAUUGUGAUGGCAAAGCGAGUCAAGUUAUAACGUGUUCCAUAGUAAUCGAGCUUCAGAUAGAGAUUCAUGACCUUUUCCUUUGGAGCAAUCUCCAUCAACAUAGUGCAUGCUCUCAUCCCAUUUCCCAAACAAAGUUGCCACAGUCUUUCCACUCUUGUCUUGGACAACUUCCUGCACCUGCAUUCUCAAAGUUGCUUUUAUGGAGAAAUCCUGAAGAAUAAUACUCCAGAAGCAUCUAUCUAUUAUUUAAUAGAUUACAUAUUCAAGGACUCCCCUUAAUUCAAGAUCCUAUGUGGCACAUCCUCUAUUCUCUAUUCUAAUUUAUCUUAAAUCCUCAUUUAAUCAUUCUAAUCUAUACAUUCUAUCAUCCCACAUUGAAUUUAUAGUAGUCAAUGACUACUAGAGAACACAUAUAAAAGGAUUAGAUAUAAUGUGUAUUUCUCCAUCCCUCAAUUAUUUUGCACAUUUAAUUAAAUUUGAUUUAUUAAUUAGUUGGCCAAAUAAAUAGUUUUAUUUUUAUUGAAAAUUUUGUUUUUAUCAAUUAUUAAAACGUCAAUGCUAAUUGGCUAAGUAAUUGAUUUUUUUUAAUUAGAAAAUAUUUAAGUUCACAAAAUUAUAAGUUGACGUAAUUUGAAGAAUCGUAGAAUUGCAUUUCUCCAUAUGUUAAAUAUUUGAGCAAAUAAUUAGAAAAUAUUUGCUAGAUUUUUAUAAUUUUUGAAACAUAAAUUUUUAAACUGAUGUAUCCCCUUAGAAAAAAUUGUCAUGAUUAUGUGAUUUUCUCUAUUUUUUAAUUUUAUUCAUCUCAAGUCCUCAUUUUAAUUAUUUUUUAUCCAAUCCCACAUCAAAUUUAUAGUAGUGUAUGCCUACUAGAGAACAUAUAUAAAAUGAUUAGAUACAAUGUGUAUUUUUCCAUAUUUCAAGUAUUUGCACCUCCAAAUAAACAUAUAGUAGUGUAUGCCUACUAGAGAACAUAUAUAAAAUGACUUGAAGAAAUAUAGAAUUGCAUUUCUUCGUAUGCUAAAUAUUUGAGCAAAUAAUUAGAAGAAAAUAUUUGAAAAAUUAUUAGAAUUAUGAAACAUAAACUUUUAAACUGAUAGUAUAAGAUAAAAUCAAUAUACUUCUCUUAGAAAAAAUUAACAUGUAUGAUUAUACGAUUUUCUCUAUUCCUUAUUUUUAAUCAUUUUUAUCCAUAUCUUCUCCAAUACCACAUCAAAUUUAUAGUAGUCUAUCAUUACUAGAGAACAUAUAUAAAAGGAGUAGAUAUAAUAUGUAUUUUCCCAUCCCUGAAUUAUUUUGCACCUCAAAUUAAAUUUGGUCAGUUAAUUAGUUGGUCAAAUAAAUAAUUUUAUUUUUAUUGAAAAUAUUAUUUUGAUCUAUUAUUAAGAUGUCUAGCUAAGUAAAUGAUUUAAUUUUAACUAGCAUUUACACCCCGUGCAAUGAACGGAAAAAUAUUUUAAAUUUUUUUAUUUAUAUUAAAGUAAUACUAAUUUAAUUAUCAUACUUAUAAAUAUAUAUAUAUAUUUAUAUUUUAACUGAAUAUAUUUGAGCAAAUAAAUAGAAGAAAAUAUUUUCCGGAUUUUAGAAAUUGUCAUGGAUGAUUAUACGAUUUUCUCUAUUCUCUAUUUUUAUUUUUCUUAUGUCCUUAUUUUAAUCAUUUUUAUCCAUAUAUUCUUCAAUCCUAUAUCUAAUUUAUAGUAGUCUAUGACUACUAGAGAAUAUAUAUAUAAAAGGAUUAGAUAUAACGGUAAAUAUUACUUUAAACCCCAAAUUAUGUUCACACAAUUAAUUAUAUCUUGAACUAUUGAAAAAUAUUUUUUAAGACUUAAACUAUCGAUUUUGUAUUAAUUGUACCCUUCAUCCAUUUUUCACUCCUUAAAUUUUCAAUUAAUAAAGCAUAUAAUGAUGUUGUUUUAUGGAGUAUAAAGCAUGUUAAAAAAGGAUUGAUUUUGAAUAAUCAUAACAUCCGGCGAGCCACGUCAAAUUUUCAGAGCCAAAAAAAUAGACGAGUGGUGCAAUUGAUACAAAAUUAAUAAUUCAAGGUUUGUAAAAAAAAUCUAUAAUUAAGGAUAUAAUUGAUAGUGUAAAAAUAAUUUGAGGUUUAAAGUAAUACUAGCAUUUGCACACCGUGCAAUGCACGGGAAACUUUAAACUUUUAUAUUUAUAUAAAACUGAUAUCAACUCAAUUAUCAUAUCUAUAAAUAUAAUUUAAAAAUAGUUUUAACUUAAUAUAUUAAUUUGAAAUGUAUAUUGAAAAAAUAAAAAAAUUACAAUAAUAAAAAUUGAUGUAAUGAAAAGAAAAAAAUUACAAUAUACUCCCUCCGUCCCAUGAAGCAAGAUCAAGUUUCCUUUUUGGUCUGUCCCACGAAGCAAGACCAGUUUCUAAAAGUAGCAAAAAAUUUACUCUUUAUUCACCUUUUCACUUUUUCAUCUACCACACUUAACACACAAAAUACCAAUUUCGAACUUGGUCUUGCUUCAUGGAACGGAGGGAGUAUAUUGCAUACUGCAUUCAAUCCAGAAGUUUUUAAAGAUAGAGAUAUUUUGGAGUAACUAACGAGAUGAUUAUUCGUGUAAAUUUUGCCGGCAUCAUUAACCAAUUAUUGAUUUAUAUUUUGUUUAUUUAUAUACAUAUUUUAUAAAUUUAAAUAACUUCAAGAAAUUAAUUGGUAUUACACACACACAUAGAUAUAUAUAUAUAUAUAUAUAUGUAUAUGUAUAUAUAUGGGUUUGGGACGAUAAUAAUAUUAAUAUCAUCACAUAUAUAAUUAGAAAAUGGAAUACUCCUAUGUAGCAUCACCAUAGUUAUGCAUUUUUAUCUAUCCUAUUUCUCAAAAAAAAAAAAAAACAUAUUUAUUAAUUCUUAUUUAUCUAAAUCUUCUCAUCCCACAUUGAUUUUUUUUAUGAAAAUUUACCAAUUGAAAUACUAAAUAAAUUGAUACUAUAAUUUGAAUCUCGUAUCAAUUUGUUAAGUCUUAGACGAGAUGAUUCUCAAAACUUAGUUAUGGUCUUUCAAACUUCAAAUAAGAUGAUGCUUACCCAGUUUUAUUCUUUCAAACUCCAAACGAAAUGAUGGUUGAAAUUCAGUUAUUCUAUUUUAAGCUCCAAAUGAGAUGAUGCACAUAACUAUAUAUGUUAUGGUUUUUGAAGCUCCAUACAAGAUGAUGUUUAGAAGUUAGUUAUGGUAUUUUAAACUCCAAAUGAGAUGAUGCACAUAAUCAUGUUAUGGUUUUUCAAGCUCCAUACAAGAUGAUAUUUAAAAGUUAGUUAUGAUCUUAUAAGCUUCAGAUUGUAUAAUCUCACAAAUCAGCCCUGAUCUUUCAAGCUCCUAAUGAAAAUAAUGUUUAGAAGUAAGUUAUGAUAUUUAAAGUAUCAAAUAAUGAUGUUCAAACGAUUGACGCAUAAAAGCCAGAUAUAUUGUUUCAGGGUCCAGACGAGAUAAUCCUAAAAAAUUUGGCGUUCAAAAGUUAAAUAUUGUCUUUCGAGUUCUUGAUGAUCCUCUGGUCUUAUAGAGUUGAGAUGGGAUGAUGCUUAUAUGACAUAUGAGAUCUUAAAUUAAUUUUUACCUGUCAAUAUAAAAAAAUUGUACAAAAUUUAUAUAAAAGAGUAUUUUUAUUAUUCUAGCAAAAAAUGAACAUUUAAUUGACGAAUAUAGUUGAAAUUAAUAUAACAUAAACUCUAUUAAAAAUAAUAUAAAUAAUUUAAAUCAAAAUUUAAAGUCCCGUCGAAUUUCGACGGGUUAUACACUAGUAGUUACAUGAAAGCAUCAACUUGUCAAGAUAUAAGAUAAGUUAUCAGGAGAAUCUUCAUCUAGCACCAAAUAUUGUUGCAGAAAUAUGCUGAGACGCUAUUCAGUUUGCAGGGUUUAGUUAUUUUACAAUUGUACACGCACCAACAAAAUUAAGAUAACUCAGUUUCAUCAACAUAUAUAAGCCUGAUUCGAAAUGUGUACAAGCCUUUGAUUCCAUGAAACAUAAUGGUCCAUUUCCAUUUAUACGACAUUAUUUAAGAUGGUUUAUACCAGAAUAAAUGUUGACAUUUUCAUUUUCAUUAGCAUGGUAAAUAGAACCAUGUUUUGCAUUUUAGUGAUUCAUGGAUUAAAAAGAAAUUAAACCAAAAUUUAUAUCAUCAAACAUUUCCAUCUUGUUUAUAUUAACUUUUUCAUUUCGCAGGACACUUUUUCUUUCUUAUUGUAAAAGAGAAAAGACAUAAAACAUAAUUUCACAUGCCUCAAGAAAAAGAGAAAAAAACCAAAGUUACCUACUUUAGAUAGGUAUAAAAGAUAUUAAUGGUAUGAGAGAGCACCUGAUGAGGAUUCCGGUCUAUGAUGGACUGCUCCUUGAAUAAUUAAAUGUGGUAAUGUGGUGUGGUCCACCAAAAAGUAUGAGUACUCUUUUUAUGAAAAGACUAAAUAGUACUCUCUUAUUAUUACUUAAUAAAGCCUUAAACAUUUCCAUAUUAAGACUGAGCCAAUUGGAGUGGGACAACCUAAAAUGGAAAAUGAGGCUAUUGGAGUGGGACGAAUGUAGUAAUAUUAUUAUUAAUAAUUUUAAUUUUUUUAGUUUAUUAAUCACUAAUUUGGAUAGUUCUAAUUAUUGUUAUUUUCAUCAUUAUAUGAUACUAAUUAUUGUUAUUUUCAAGUUUAUAUAAUAUUUAUGUUGUUAUUUUCGUGUCAGAAGUUGAAGAUAUGAAAUUAUUUUAUUUUUUUAUUUUUCUUUUGUUAGAGAAUGCUACUUGAUAUUGGUGUAACUAGGGUUGUCGAUCGGUUCGGGUUCGGUUAUCCGUACCCGAAUUUUCGGUUACCCGAACCCGAAAUUGUCAUAUUUCACUAACCGUUUUCGAACCGUUUUAGGUAUUCGGUUACCCAAUAACCGCUUCGGUUACCCGAUUCGGUUAUUUGUGUAUCCGAAAUACCCAUUUAAAAAAUUUAAAUUUAAAUAAUUUGCUAGAUAGAGGAUUUGAACCUUAGUCUCUAAAAAAUACACAAAGCAACUUAUCCAUUAGACUAAAGCUCAUUUUUAUACCUUAAAUAUAUCAUAAUUUUAUUUUAGCUAAAAAUCGAUUUAAAAAAAUAAAUUAAUUAAUUAAUGAAUUAAUAAUUAAAAAAUAUAUAUAAUAUAAUAUUAAAUAAUUUUUGGUUAUUUUGGUUGGGUUAACCGAUACUCGAAAUUUUUCUAAAAAUGAUACCCGAAACCGAACCGAUAAUCAAAAAAUUCGAUUAUUGGAUACCCAAACCCGAGAAAUUCUGUUCUGUUAACGGAUUAUCCAAAACCCGAUAACCAAUUAGACAGCCCUAGGUGUAACAAUGAUGUUAUUCAAAUUGCGCCCACCCUAAUAAAUUAUGAAGGACUUGCAUCGGUGGACCGGUGGUUCAUUUCAACCAAUACAAGCUUGAUGGCGAACUAUAUUAUGUAUUAAUUUCACCACAAAUUGCUUACUUUUUCAACAUCUCCCCUACUCAACUUUCACAUCACAACUUAACCAUCAAAUUGAGUAAAACUAGAAAGUCAACCGUUUUCCUUAGAUAGUACUCCAUCCGUCCCAAUUUUUAGUAUCCAAAUUUCUUUUUUGAUCCUCCCAUAUUUUGGUAUUUAUUUUAAUUUUUCAUAAAAGUAGGUGGGGUCCUUACUCCACUAUAAUUAUUUUAACUCUCACAUAAAAAGUUAGACCCUUAUUCCACUUACAACACACCAAUCACUUUAUUAAAAUACGUGCCGUUCUCAAUUGGAUACCAAAAGUCGGGACGGAGGGAGUAUGAAAUAUUAAAUUUGAAUUACACGUUGUCAACAUUUGACGCACUAAGAACGUGAUACCGUGACAGAGGGCUUCCAAGACAUUACGAGACAAAAUACAUGCAUAGGUAAAAUAGAAAUAAAAAUUUUGAAUAUAAAAAAAGUUAUUAUUAUUAUUAUUAUUAUUAUUUUUAAUCUGAAAUUUUUUAAUGCACAUGAUUGAACAUAAAAAUACAUGUUUAUAAACAUAAAUUUGCAUAACUUUGCACACAAAAAUGCAUUGCAUAUUUUGUGGCAACAACAUGCAUAUUUUUGUGUGCAAAGUUAUGCACGAUCUCUAUUUAAUUAUAUAUAUAUAUAUAUAUAUAUAUAUAUAUUUUAAUAGUUGAAAAUAAUUUUUUUAUCUUUGAGGGGGUUGAAAAGUAGUCUUGGUAGCAUUAAAUUCUAUCUGUGCCAUGCAUAUACAACAAAUUUAUAGUGUCCAAAUCAUACAGCUUUGCAAAUAUUGUCCAAAAUUUAUUCUGGUCCAUCCAAAGCUCCAUUGUAUAUCACGAACUCUUGAGCAAUAUAUAUAACCUUUAUUACAACAUAAAUAAUCAAAUUAAUCAUCAUCUCAUAUUGAGACGCGUUAAAUUGUUUUUUCCUAAAUCCAUACAUGAUAAAUACCAAAAAUAUUUAUAAAUACGAGCUUAAUUAGAUCUGAUCUUGGCCAAAAAAAUUAUAUAUAUAUAUUUCUUUAACGUGAGAUUUGCUCACCUGCAAAUUAUAAGUCAUGUACCACGAAUUCGAUUUAUGGUUAAACAAAACCUAGUCACUCUAGGAAAUUGUUUACCUGAAAAUAUAUAUAUCCCAAUAUUAUUUUUACCUCAAUUUUUAUGGUUGACUUGCUGAAUUAGUCAAAGUAUAAGCAAACAAUUCGUGUAUUUGACAAAGAGUUGAACACUUGAAGUAGCUAGCUAGUGACUUAGUAAGAACAAGCCAAACAAUAAAUUAAUUUGAGAAAAAGGAGAUUAUCAUGUUAGAUUGUCUCAUCAUAAACGAUCAAUAAUUUGGAUUGCAAACUCCUAUUUCACUAACAAUACUAUUAUAGAUAUUCUGAUACAAUUGAAUAUAAAUUUAUAUCUAUAUCUUGACACGUGUCAUGAUGGAAAAAUCUUACACAAUAAUUUGUAUUUGAAAAGAUGAAAUUUGGCAGACGCCAAUUCAAUUACAAUAUGCUAAAAUUCUUGGGUUUUAUAUACAAUCGAAUUCCCUAAUUGAUCACACCGACAAAUUCUAAACCAAACUUCAAAUUCAACUCUAGCUAAAUUCUAGGUUUUCUCCAACUGAAUAACUCUUAAAAAAAGUUUAAAUACAAUCAUAAUAUACGAAAAGUUUAACCAACACAAAAUCUUAUGUAGCAAUGCUUUUCUCUAUAGCACUUGAAUCCAGAUAACGAUAAAUGACUCGCCUAACAGAUCUUAACUUAUCGAGCCGUAUUACACGAGACUUGCUUUUAAUCAACAGAAAAAAUUUAUGUAAGAUAAUCUGACGAGUCAAGAUCUAUCACUCAUAUAGUUAAUAAUUUUAAAAUAUUUUAUCGUGCUCGAAAUCCGUAUUACACGAUACUUGCUCUUUAAUCAACACAAAAACUUAUGUAAGAUAGUUUGACGAGUCAAGAUCUAUCACUCAUAUAUUCAAUAAUUUUAAAAACUUGUCGGGCCAUAUUACACGAAACUGCCCUAUUACGUGAGACUUGCUUUUAAUCAACACAAAACCUCACGCAAGACAGUCUAACGAGCUAAGAUCUAUCACUCACAUAUCCAAUUAUAUAUAUUUAUAAUUCAAAAUUACUUUAUAGUGCUUCAAAAUUCAGAUAAUGACUCGUCUAACAAAUCUUAACUAGUUCGAACCGUUUAACACAUAAAGAUGUCACUUUCUUGCAUUAGUGAUAGGCUAUAACUAGUCACGCUAGGGGGAGACGUGGUCUUGAGCAAGUCAAUGGACACGCCAUAGGAAAAGAUCCACAACACGAAAAGACCAAAAUACCCAUCCCUAGCCUCGUAUAAUCCUCGUCAUUCACAAGGGCAAUUUAGUGAAAUCAAACCUAAUAUUUUUCAAACGUUAGAAGCUUUAUAAAUUGGUCUGUUAGAAGACAAAGGAAAACGGCUUUCAUUGUAAUCUUGACAACUGCCACACAUUCACCAGGGCUAAUAUAAAACACACACAACACACACUCAUAUAUCCCUCUGUCUUUUUCCAAUUUUAUUAUUCCCUUGUCUUUAAAAUUAAAUUUCUUUUGGGGAAAUUCGGAAAGUGGCUUUAUUUAUUUAUUUUGUUAUUUGAUAUAUAAAAAUAAUUCGAGGGGUCUGGAAAUUACGUUAGGGUCAUAUUGUUGCAUUCCCUUUCUGCGGCCGGGGGCGUCAAGUUUCCAACUUUGAGGGAGAUCUCAUUUGGGUUUUGUUUGGUUUGAUUUGGGUCUGCAUUUCUUGAUCUCGAGAUAAAGAGGGUGAUUGUUUGGUGAUUUUAGAGAGAGAAAGGGGAGAGAGAGAGAGAUGAGCGGUGUAUCAAGAAUUUGGGAGAAGGUGAAUAUGAUGGCGGAAGGAGGAUCUCGGAAUUGUUCCAAGAAAUCUGAUGAUAUAUGUGGCGAUGCCUGUGGUGAGGUAAAAAAAAAUCAUCUUUUUUUAGGGGGUUGCGUUUUUUGCUAAUGUAUGGCAUAAAAAGAGUGUGGGUUUUUUCCUCGCCUUUUUUCUUUUUAAAAUUCUUGAAUGUCUUGUUUCGGUUUUCGUUUGGGUGGGGAUUGUGGUUUGCUUUUUAGAUUCUGUAAAAAAAAAAUUAUUUUUUUAUUUUAUUGAUGAAACAUCAAUGGAUAAAUUUUUGAUUUUGGACUAUUGGGAUGAGGGAACAUUUGAAAUUUCGUUUUGUUUAGAGCAAUUUUGAGCUGUAGUUUUGUGUGUGUGUGUGUUUUAUUGAGGGAUUAGAUCAAAUUCCCCCAUUUAUGUAAUUAUUAUUUCUGGGAAUAUAUCAGCGUGAAGAAAUUUUAAGAUCCUGUGAUUUUUCGUUUGAAUUAUUUUGUGAAUGUUGCUUUUUUCUGGUUUAUCUACCGUUAUACCUCAUUUGAUUGGAGUGGGAUCUGAAAGAAUGUCCUGUUCUCAAUAAUAUUAUUUGGCACUUGCUUGAAUUUUCAAUUUUAUUGCUCUUAUCUUAUGCCUUGCAGGAAUUAUUCUGUGAUUUGUUGUAUGGUUUUCAUUAAUCUAUUGAAAGUCAUUAAAAAUGUUGUAGGGAAAGUAAGAUUCUUGCUUUAUUUGCAAUCUGUGAGGUCCAUAUUUGAAUAGCAUCACAAUGGAGAGAAUCUAGCUGUGGAAGUUGUGUAUAUGUUGGUUCGAGUUCGUGUUGAAUCGUAUGUAUGAUUGUUGCAGUUUUUCUAAUAAAUUUGGUGUUUGUGAAAAUUGCAGGAUUCAGGAAGGGCUUUGAGCAUGGCCAGAUUGAGAUGUAUUCUGCGGGGGCUGGAUUUCAAAGCAUUGCUCUUUCUCUUUGUGUUGAUCCCGACGUGUGUCUUUGUUAUAUAUGUCCACGGCCAAAAGAUCACGUACUUUCUGAGACCGUUAUGGGAGUCCCCGCCCAAGCCUUUCCACGAGAGACCUCACUACUAUCACGAGAAUGUGUCAAUGGAGAAUCUGUGUAAGCUUCAUGGUUGGGGGAUACGUGAGUACCCUAGACGUGUCUAUGAUGCAGUGCUGUUCAGCAACGAGGUGGACAUCCUCAAGAUGCGUUGGAAGGAGUUGUAUCCGUAUGUGACAGAGUUUGUCCUCCUUGAGUCGAAUUCCACCUUCACCGGGCUGCCAAAGCCCAACCUCUUCUCAACUGUCCGCGAUCAGUUCAAAUUUGUUGAGCCCCGUUUGACCUAUGGGCAGGUCCCGGGGAGAUUCAAGACGGGAGAGAACCCUUUUGUUGAGGAGGCGUAUCAGAGAUACACGUUGGAUUAUCUUCUCAAGCAAGCCGGCAUUCAGGAUGAUGACCUUUUGAUAAUGUCGGAUGUUGAUGAGAUCCCAAGUAGGCACACGAUCAAUCUCUUGAGGUGGUGCGAUGACAUACCCCCGAUCCUUCAUCUUCGUCUCAAGAACUAUCUGUACUCGUUCGAGUUUUUCCUUGACAACAACAGCUGGAGAGCCUCUGUCCAUGUAUACCAAUCUGGCAAGACGAGAUAUGCUCACUACCGACAGUCUGAUGAGAUCUUGGCUGAUGCAGGGUGGCAUUGUAGCUUCUGCUUCAAACGCAUCAGCGAAUUCAUAUUCAAGAUGAAGGCUUACAGCCACGUGGAUCGGGUGAGAUUCUCUCAUUUUCUGAGCCCUAAGAGGAUCCAGAAAGUGAUCUGCAAAGGUGCUGAUUUGUUUGACAUGCUGCCCGAGGAGUAUACGUUCAAGGAGAUAAUCGGGAAGAUGGGGCCGAUCCCACAUUCCUAUUCGGCCGUUCAUCUCCCUGCAUAUCUCUUGGAGGCAGCUGAUCAAUACAAAUUCCUCUUACCUGGGAAUUGCAUAAGGGAAAGAGAGAGUGGCUGAGCUACACGAACGAGGUCGUGUAUCUUCUUGUACAGGUGGAGGAAGCAAGCUUCAGCUCGACUCCCGGGUAAGGGUGACCUUUAACCAAAUUCAUGGCUGCAGUGUGUGUUGUUUUUAUAACCAUGCUACAUACAUGUUCAGCCUACUUAUAUCAUUCUUGCCUUCGAGCUUUUGAGAAAACAAAGAAAAAAAAUGACAGACAUAUCUCGGACUUUACUAGAUUGAGGUUUGUAUAUAAUCGUUCGUAGACUUGAUUUUCAUGCAACCGGAUAGUGCACUGAGCGAGAGAAACGAAAAGAAAAGAAAACGGGCUCUGCUAGGAACUACUUGUUGUAACUAGGGCGUUUCCAUAAUACAUAAACGCGCUAUGACUGUGCAUUACGCCCCCUUGAAGGCGGGGGGUUGGUUCAUCGUUGUUGCUGGCCGUUUUUCUGUCUCUAGGAAAAUUUUUGGUGUGAGCAGUGAGCUAAUAUAUUCAUCUGCAGAUUGUGAAACAUGCUGUAGUGCUUUCUUGAUUUUGGAUCUUCUCUCAAACUGUUUUUUUAUUUUUUCAAUGGAGAUAUGAUGUGAUGAUUCAGCUCUUUCUUGAGAUUUUCUUGCUAUUCUUUCCUCAAUUUUUACAGCUAAGUUUUGUCUGAAAACAGAGGAUUCUUGGCUUUGUGAAGCAUUGUUUGUUGAUGGAUAGCUGGUUUCUUGUUUGUUGAUGAACUAAGAAAUUAUGUGUGGGAAGAAAAAGAAUUAAAGAAAAAAGUCAAAUGAAAUAAAGAAUCUGAUACCCUCAAUAAUUUAUGAUGGUUUUUUGUCAUUGUUCAAGGUUGGCAUGUCCGAAUAUUUUUUCUAUUUCAAGAAAAUAUAAUCAUUAAUUGCCACUGAUGUGCAGCUCAUUACAUUUGCUUUAUUCAACACUUGCAAGUUACUACUAUAAUUUAAAUUAAAACCUUAUUAUACUUCAAAAUCUUUGUGAUCAUAUUAUAAUUGGCUACAUCAAUAAGGGCUUGUUCAUCAAGAUUGGCACUCAACCUUCAAAUACAUGAACUUCUAUUAUUUCUAUUUUUCACAUGGUUCUCAAUUAUCCUCAAAUUAAUAGCGAUAUGGACGCCUAGAAUGUUUACAUGACUUAAACGAUAGAUGACAAAACGAUAUAGUUGGAUGUCUAUGCAAUUUUAAUUGGUCACGUUGAUAUUAAUUUGUUAUGUCAACUUGCCACUAUGGUAUUAACUGUGAAAAAUUUCAAAUGAUUGGAACUUCAUGUAUUUAGGCGCAAUUAUUCUUUGAAAAUCAGACAGUUAGAAUCACAACUGUUGAUUAGAAGUGAUGCAAGAUUCUUUCCCAAGUGGGAUCAAAAGCUGUAAGAAAUUCCUCAGAGAAAUUACCAAAAAGGAAUUGAAUUCCACAAAAUAUAAAACAAUAUUACCCCAUAAUGGGAAUUGAAUCAGAUGCAUCCCCAUCUCAAAAACAAAAAAAAAACUAUAAGUAGCAGACACUAACACCAAUCAAUCUAUCAAGAGAGAGAGAGAGAGAGAGUCAAGAAAAUGCAGAUGUACAAGGAAGUAGUGGAGGAAUAUGAAUACAGCUACAGCAACAAUGGCUCAGACAUGCACAUGAUGAAGCCUGCUGCUGCACAGCACAGCUACAAUCAGAGCCAUGGCCAUGCGCCCGAGACGAGGUACGAGGAUGGCUGGGGCGGCGCCAAGAAUAAUGACCAUUAUGCCCUCGGUGGCAAGGUGCAUCACGGCGGCAAUGAGGGGAUGAAGCACGGUGGAUAGGGGCUGAUCAGGGGCAUUUUGGUCAUUACAAGGAGGGGAUGGGGAUGAAGCACGGCGGAUAUGGGGGCGAUCAGGGGCAUUUUGGUCAUUAUAAGGAGGUGAUGGGAUGAAGAA